Monodelphis domestica (gray short-tailed opossum) is the source of this 1766-nucleotide non-coding RNA. The record is from RefSeq and is a predicted model, not a curated record. Lineage: Eukaryota; Metazoa; Chordata; Mammalia; Didelphimorphia; Didelphidae.
GGGAUUUCCAGAAGGGAAAAAGCAGCGCUUUCUCUCAAAGAUUUCAGUCUGGAAGAGAACACGUUUUGUAAACUAUAGGUCAAUUAACUGGGAUUUCCCGGAAGACUUGAAUAUCUAGAAAGGGAAGUGAUGAAAAGAACCAGAUCCCAGUGCUGAUUCAAGGACAGGGAAAAUCAAGAUAUGCCUUGUGGAAGAGGUGGCACCUGGCCUUUGCUUUGAAGGAAGAAGAUGGAGAUUUGGUGAGCUGUAGAAGAGAGGAAGCAUUCCAGAUAAUAGAGACCACUUGUUCAUGAAAUGACAUGGAAGGCAGGAGAUUAGGAAAGCUAACAAGCUUGUUUGAGUGAAAGAGUAUGAAGAAAUGCGAAAAGUAGGAAGGUUACAUUUUGUGUAUCAAGAAGAGGGUCAGAGACUUUCAGGGGUGGAGCCAAGAUGGAGGAAUAACUAGAGCAGCACCACCAUCUCACCACAAAAAUUCUCUCAGAACAAGAUUAAAAUAUUGCCACAAAACAAAUACAGGAGUGAAAGAACCAACAAAGAGACAGAAUGAAACAACCUUCAAAAAAAAAACCCAAAAGGUAGGCAGAGACCAUCUGGGGAAUUGAGGUGAGAGAGGAGCAGAGACAGAAGGAGGCAUAGCAAGCAGCAAGUGAAGAGCAAAUCAAGAGCAAACUACAACUCACCCCACCCCUCCCCCACAUCUUCCCUCACAGGUUCUGAAUUUAAGUCAAAGCUAAUAGUCAAACCCUGAGAUCCUACCAGAGCAAAUAGUGUCCAAGUCAACCCACACCCCUUGAAAUUUCAAACCUGUGGAGAAGUUUGGAGUCGUAGCCCAAGGCAAUCUGGGUGGAAGGGGGCUGAUCUGCGUGAGCCCAGAGUGAAGCCAGGAAGCCCAGUCUGGGCUUGGGAUGAGGACAUUAUCUACGAUUUGGGGUGAGGACACAGUUCUUAGGGGGAGCUGCCCCAGGAUCUUUCUGCCCAAAACUAAGUGUGGAGCUCCAGGACAGGGCAAUCAAAGGUGUGUCUGAUUGAAUCAAGAACACCUUGAGACCAAAAACUUGAGCCCAAGCCUGGGGCUAGAAUUUGAUCAGCCCCUAUCCCAAUCAAAUUCAGACUGAGAUCAAAAGUUUAUACCUAAGCCUGAGAAAAGUCUUUAAGCUAUCAGUAUCUCAAGGAUCAACUGAAUCAUCAGGGGGAGAGAACUGUCAGAGCUCUCAGCCCAUUAGUAAGAACCCUGAAAAGAGCAUCAAGGAAGGAAUGAAGCAUAAGAGGGAACUCCAACAUCUCAGAAAACAGAGCCUACCAAUAAUUAGAUAGGAAAAAUGAGCAAACAACAAAAAAGGCACCCCCAAAAAAAGAAUUUUUAUGGAGACAAAGAGCAAGAUGCAGACACAGAAGGGGACAGUGAAAGCAAAGGAAAACACACAAAGUGCAAAAGAAAAAUAUGGAUUGGACAAAGGAUCUGGAAGAGCUCAAAAGACUUCAAAAACCAAUUAGGAGAAGUAGAGGAAAAGUGGGGAAGAGAAAAGUGAUGCAAGAAUAGGGUUAAAGGUUUUUUCCUAAAACCAGAAAACAAGGAAUCUACACAAUGGAUGGCCUCAUGUGGAAAGCAACUGAUAUCCAACUCAAGAACAUGAAUGAAUGGAAAAAAGUCUUGAGUGUUUACAUACUGUAAAGAUAAUUUUAGGGUUGUGACUUAAAAAUCUAAAUUAAUUGGUCACCACACCAAGGAAAAAAUCCCAAAUAAAAUACUCAAGUCAGUCUGGAAA